GUCCACGCCCUAAACGAUGUCAACUGGUUGUUGGGUCUUAACUGACUCAGUAACGAAGCUAACGCGUGAAGUUGACCGCCUGGGGAGUACGGCCGCAAGGUUGAAACUCAAAGGAAUUGACGGGACCCGCACAAGCGGUGGAUGAUGUGGUUUAAUUCGAUGCAACGCGAAACCUUACCCACCUUUGACAUGUACGGAAUCCUUUAGAGAUAGAGGAGUGCUCGAAAGAGAGCCGUAACACAGGUGCUGCAUGGCUGUCGU
Molecule: ribosomal RNA, 261 nt
Filed under: uncultured bacterium
Lineage: Bacteria
Description: partial 16S ribosomal RNA
Rfam family: Bacterial small subunit ribosomal RNA
Source: RNAcentral